RNAcentral lists this long non-coding RNA (923 nucleotides) under Olea europaea subsp. europaea. The record is from RNAcentral. Lineage: Eukaryota; Viridiplantae; Streptophyta; Magnoliopsida; Lamiales; Oleaceae.
CAAAGUUUAUCAAGAGUACGACUAUAAAUUACAAAACAUGUUUUUCUAUACCAAAUCACCACAGUUAGAACAUCAAAAUCCAAAUGAAAAGACAAACAACGAAUUAACAUUCACGGCACCUACUAUAAGUUUGAAGCAUAACAAUGGAAGCAUGAGGAUUACUAUGUUGAAAUUCCCGGCAACAUUGAACAAAGAAGAAACCUUCUUUCCAUAAAUUCACUUGGUCAGGAGAGAUUACCAACUCUAAGCAGGCCCUGGAAAAACGAGGCGAACAUUUUGGGAGUUCAAAGUAUUAUCCAACGGCGUGGGAUGAUACAUCAAACAAAAUAUAUUUGGUGAAAGUUUUCUUGAUAUACCUACGGAUCCCUACAACAAAAAGACUAGGACAGUUGGGCCCAUCCACUUAGAGCAAGUUGUGGAGGUGCAUAUCUAAAGAUACAAGAGUCUCACUAAAAAAGUGAAGAAAGAAAAUCCUGAGCCCCAUAUCCAAUGAAUGCUUUGAAUAGGUACGCAGCUUGGGAUGGAUGAUCCGCCGUUUGAAAUGAUUUAGGACAUCAUUAGGAAUGUUAAAAAGGAUCAUGAUUUUGGCCUUGUUCAGGGAGAUUACUAAAGAUUUUUGAAGCUUCAAAACGUUCCCAACAUUUUCAUUAAGAUCAACUGCAUACUAGAGUGACAGAAAUUUCACAUUUAAAACUAGAACACCCAGGAUCGGUAUUGUUAGACAUGCUUUGAAGGUCAGUUUAGAAAGACAUUGCAUGAAAGAUGUUAGAUAAGGAUAAAGAAACAGUAGGUACUAAGACAAGAAAUUUGCUUGAGAGUAAUGAGGCUACAAAGUAAAAAAGACCAACCAAGUUAUGACAAUUAUAGAUUCUGGUGAAAGACAAAUUAGCCGUUAAAAAUGAUAGUAAGAAUCAUAAUUGUCA